UACGUAGGGGGCAAGCGUUGUCCGGAUUUAUUGGGCGUAAAGAGCUCGUAGGUGGUUUGGUAAGUCGGAUGUGAAAUCUCCAGGCUCAACCUGGAGGGGUCAUUCGAUACUGCCAUGACUAGAGGUCGGUAGGGGAGUGUGGAAUUCCUGGUGGAGCGGUGAAAUGCGCAGAUAUCAGGAGGAACACCCGUAGCGAAGGCGGCACUCUGGGCCGAUACUGACACUGAGGAGCGAAGGCGUGGGGAGCGAACAGG
RNAcentral lists this ribosomal RNA (254 nucleotides) under uncultured bacterium. RNAcentral's name for it is "partial 16S ribosomal RNA". It matches the Rfam family "Bacterial small subunit ribosomal RNA", at positions 524 to 776 of the family's 1533-position model. The record is from RNAcentral.